Molecule: unclassified non-coding RNA, 499 nt
Filed under: uncultured Glomeromycotina
Lineage: Eukaryota; Fungi; Glomeromycota
Description: SSU rRNA
Rfam family: Eukaryotic small subunit ribosomal RNA
Source: RNAcentral
CCAAUAGCGUAUAUUAAAGUUGCUGCAGUUAAAAAGCUCGUAGUUGAAUUUCGGGACCAUCAUGUCGGUCGUGCCUCGGUACGUACUGGCAUUGUUGGUUUCUCCCUUCUGACGAACCAUGAUGUCAUUUAUUUGGUGUUGUGGGGAAUCAGGACUGUUACUUUGAAAAAAUUAGAGUGUUUAAAGCAGGCUCACGCUUGAAUACAUUAGCAUGGAAAAAUGAAAUAGGACGUUUGAUUCUAUUUUGUUGGUUUCUAGGAUCGACGUAAUGAUUAAUAGGGAUAGUUGGGGGCAUUAGUAUUCAAUUGUCAGAGGUGAAAUUCUUGGAUUUAUUGAAGACUAACUACUGCGAAAGCAUUUGCCAAGGAUGUUUUCAUUAAUCAAGAACGAAAGUUAGGGAAUCGAAGACGAUCAGAUACCGUCGUAGUCUUAACCAUAAACUAUGCCGACUAGGGAUCGGAUGAUGUUAAUUUUUUAAUGACUCAUUCGGCGCCUUACG